RNAcentral lists this ribosomal RNA (524 nucleotides) under uncultured bacterium. Its description in RNAcentral is "partial 16S ribosomal RNA". It matches the Rfam family "Bacterial small subunit ribosomal RNA", at positions 28 to 523 of the family's 1533-position model. The record is from RNAcentral.
GACGAUCGCUGGCGGCGUGCCUAAUACAUGCAAGUCGAACGAAGCUUUUUUAACUGGUGCUUGCACCGACUUAAACAACUGAGUGGCGAACGGGUGAGUAACACGUGGGUAACCUGCCCCAAAGCGGGGGAUAACAUUUGGAAACAGAUGCUAAUACCGCAUAACCACAGAAACCACAUGGUUUCUGUUUCAAAGACGGUUUCGGCUAUCACUUUGGGAUGGACCCGCGGCGUAUUAGCUAGUUGGUAAGGUAAUGGCUUACCAAGGCAAUGAUACGUAGCCGAACUGAGAGGUUGAUCGGCCACAUUGGGACUGAGACACGGCCCAAACCCCUACGGGAGGCAGCAGUAGGGAAUCUUCCACAAUGGACGAAAGUCUGAUGGAGCAACGCCGCGUGAGUGAAGAAGGUUUUCGGAUCGUAAAACUCUGUUGUCAGAGAAGAACGUGUGCGAGAGUAACUGUUCGUGCAGUGACGGUAUCUGGCCAGAAAGCCACGGCUAACUACGUGCCAGCCGCCGCCGUAA